RNAcentral lists this long non-coding RNA (10596 nucleotides) under Triticum aestivum (bread wheat). RNAcentral describes it as "long non-coding RNA (TAES_LNC022223)". Lineage: Eukaryota; Viridiplantae; Streptophyta; Magnoliopsida; Poales; Poaceae. The record is from RNAcentral.
GUCAAUCAAGUACAUAAAUAACAUUACAUCAUCCAAACACUCAUGGCCCGUUUACGAUGCCAAAAUAAAAGAUAACCCAACAUGCGACACGGUCCCGAUCACCCCAACUGGGAACCGCUACUGAUCAUCAGGGAAAGACACGUAGUAACGUUGAGAGUCCUUGUCGAACUCCCACUUGAGCUCAAGCGCGCCACCUGGAGCGGAAUCAUCAGGCCCUGCAUCUGGUUUGGAAGUAAUCUGUGAGCCACAGGGACUCAGCAAUCUCGCACCCUCGCGAUCAAGACUAUUUAAGCUUAAUAGGAAAGGUAAGGUAAUUAUGUGGAGCUGCAGCAAGCGACUAGCAUAUAUGGUGGCUAACCUGUUCGCAAAAAAGAGCGAGAAGAGAAGGCAAAGCGCGAACGCAUAACUAAAGAGGGCAACCUGCGGCAAGCAUUACUCCAACACCGUGUCCACUUCCCGGACUCCACCGAGAAGAGGCCAUCAUGGUAACACACUCAGUUGAUUCAUUUUAAUUAAGUUAAGGUUCAAGUUAUCUACAACCGGACAUUAACAAAUUCCCAUCUGCCCAUAACCGCGGGCACGACUUUCGAAAGUUCAAAUCCCUGCAGGGGAGUCUCAACUUAGCCCAUGACAAGCUCUCACGGUCAAUGAAGGAAUAGACCUCCUCCCGAGACGUUUUGAUCAGACUCGGUAUCUUGGUUCUUCAAGACACUUCGACAGGUUAAAACUAAUCCAGCAACACUGCCCGAAUGUGCCGACAAAUCCCGAUAGGAGCUGCACAUAUCUCGUUCUCAGGGCACACUCAGAUGAGCGCUCCAUACAACUAAAACCAAACCUCGAGUUUCCCCGAGGGGGCGCUGCACAGGACUCUAGUUUGGACCAACACUCAGAGGAGCACUGGCCCAGGGGGGGCUAAAAUAAGAUGACCCUCGGGCUCCGGAAACCCAAGGGAAAAAGAGGCUAGGUGGCAAAUGGUAAAACCAAGGUUGGGCAUUGCUGGAAAAGCUUUAAUCAAGGCGAACUAUCAAGGGGUUCCCAUUAUAACCCAACCGCGUAAGGAAGGCAAAAUCCGGGAACAUAACACCGAUAUGACGGAAACUAGGGCGGCAAGAGUGGAACAAAACACUAGGCGAGAGGCCGAGCCUUCCACCCUUUACCAAGUAUAUAGAUGCAUUAAGAUAACAAGAUAAUAUAAUGAUAUCCCAACAAGUAAAUAAGGUUCCAACAAGGAACGGUCUCCAAUCUUCACCUGCAACUAGCAACGCUAUAAGAGGGGCUGAGCAAAGCGGUAACAUAGCCAAUCAAUGGUUUGCUAGGACAUGGUGGGUUAGAGGUUUGACAUGACAAUUUGGGAGGCUUGAAAGCAAGUGGUAGGCAUCGUAGCAUUGGCAUAGCAAAAGAGCGAGCAUCUAGCAUAGCAAAGAUAGUAGUGAUUUCGAUGGUAUGAUCAUCUUGCCUGCAAAGUUGUCAGAGUUGACUGGAUCCUCGAAAGCAAACUCAACAGGCUCCUCAUUAGCGAACUCGUCUCCCGGCUCUACCCAAACAAGACAAACAAGCAACAAGGGCACAAUCAACCACGUGCAAAGCUCAAACGAUAUGAUGCAAAGAUGAUAUGCUAUGCGGGAUUCGAUGCGGGAUACAUAUGCAAGAUUUGACAAGGGAUGCAUGAACCUGGCCUCAACUUGGAAAUCCAAGUGUGCCACUAGAAAGAUGAGAUGAAAUUGCUUGAAAACGAUAUAGAGAACGCCGGAAUCGGAGUUACGGUUUGGAAAUGGCAAGCAAUUCAAAUAUGGCCACGUUCUGCGAUUUACAACAAGUAGCCAUCUAAAUGCAAUGAGCUGAACAUGCUACAGCAUUCAAACAUGACAACAAAAUACAUGGCAGGGAUGCAUUCAUGAUGCUUAACAAAAGUCUAGCACUGAGCUACGGCCAAUUCAUCCAUUAACAGGUUCAAACAAGCAUGUCAAAAAUGCAUAUGGAAAACAGAUCUUAGACUUAGUGAAAUUAACACUCGUCUGGAAUUUCAGAUCAGGUAGCACACUUUGGAGCAACAAAACUAUAUGCUACAGGACCUGAACAUAGCAAAGUAAAGCAUGGCAUGGAGUUACUCAAAGAGCUUAACAAAAGUCCCUUAGUGACCUUGAGCCAAAAGGGAUCAGAAAAUACAAUUGCAAGCAUGUGAACAUGGCAAAAACAUAAUCAGUUCUCAGACUUAGUGAAAACUGGAGCAUGCUGAAACAGAUAUCAAGUAGGCAUGUUUACGAGCUCGAUGGACUCACUACGGAGCAAGUCAUGACUAGAUAAGCAUACACCCAUCAAGAAUACACAAAAUGCAAGCUAGACAUGGCAAGAACAAUAGCAUAGCAUGUACGGAUUAACUACAACAUCCUCGGCAAAAUCGCUAACAAGUAGACAAUCUGCCCAGAUUCACGAAGUAGCAAAAGUAGAGCUCGAUUGACUCAAGAUAGGGUGCUCCAUAAUUGCAAACAAAGACAUGGAUGGAUAGAGCACUACAAGAUUAACAAAACAUCCUUACUGAUCAUCCUCAAAAGAGGCACGGAUCACUAGGAAACAACAUGAACAUAUGGCCAUAUGAGAUAAACAGGUCAAGGACUUAGUGGAAAUGCUAAGUCCCUGAAAUCAGAAUUACCAAGUGUCUCACUUUGCAAGCUUGUGCUAGUCACCACACACAUCACAAAAAUACAUGGGUUGCACCUCUGGAAAGAUGGCAAAACCCUUAACAAAACAUAUGUAGAGCUCAUGGGCAUAUCAUGCACACAAUAAUCAUGGCAAAAAUGACAAAUAUCUAAAUGGAGCAGCAUAUCUGACAAUUAUCUCAAGUAGCACUCUUCUAACAGCAUUUCGGGCAUCAAGAUGAACUCAAAUGAAAAUGAUGCAAUGGAAUGAAAUGAUGUACUCUCUGAGACGAACAUUUUGAUAUGCUAUAUGCCCAAAACAGAGCUACAGAUGCGGAGUUACGGCAUGAUGAACAUGAGCAUUUGAAACUGGGAAUUUCGGGGACUUGGGAAAAAUAUACCCUCUGAAAAAUAGAUCUAGGGUUUGGCAUGGAAACCGAGGCACUCGCCGGAGCUUCACGGGAGGAGGGCGCGGGGCGGCGCCGGGAAAGUCAGAGGAGGCGGAUCCGGCCGGAUCCCGCCGGAUCCGGGCGCGGCAGGGCCGGAGGAGCAGCGGGCCNNNNNNNNNNNNNNNNNNNNNNNNNNNNNNNNNNNNNNNNNNNNNNNNNNNNNNNNNNNNNNNNNNNNNNNNNNNNNNNNNNNNNNNNNNNNNNNNNNNNNNNNNNNNNNNNNNNNNNNNNNNNNNNNNNNNNNNNNNNNNNNNNNNNNNNNNNNNNNNNNNNNNNNNNNNNNNNNNNNNNNNNNNNNNNNNNNNNNNNNNNNNNNNNNNNNNNNNNNNNNNNNNNNNNNNNNNNNNNNNNNNNNNNNNNNNNNNNNNNNNNNNNNNNNNNNNNNNNNNNNNNNNNNNNNNNNNNNNNNNNNNNNNNNNNNNNNNNNNNNNNNNNNNNNNNNNNNNNNNNNNNNNNNNNNNNNNNNNNNNNNNNNNNNNNNNNNNNNNNNNNNNNNNNNNNNNNNNNNNNNNNNNNNNNNNNNNNNNNNNNNNNNNNNNNNNNNNNNNNNNNNNNNNNNNNNNNNNNNNNNNNNNNNNNNNNNNNNNNNNNNNNNNNNNNNNNNNNNNNNNNNNNNNNNNNNNNNNNNNNNNGCGGGCCGGCGAUGGGGGUUGCGACCGAGCCAACGGGGACGUGACACGUGGCGGCGGCGGCUAGUCGGACAUGUCCGACUCGGCACGGACGUUGUCCGGCGGCGCGGGGAGGAAGAUGGUUAGGGUUCAUCCGCGAAUUUCGGGAGGGGAACACAUAUUUAUAGGUAGAGGGAGCUAGGAGAGUCCAAAUGAGGUGCGGUUUUCGGCCACGCGAUCGUGAUCGAACGCUCUAGAUGAUGGAGAAGGUUUAGGUGGGUUUUGUGCCAAAUUGAAAGGGUGUUGGGCUGCAACACACACGAGGCCUUUUCGGUCCCUCGGUUAACCGUUUGAGCAUCAAACAAAGUCCAAAUGGUACGAAACUUGACAGGCGGUCUACCGGUAGUAAACCAAGGCCGCUUGGCAAGUCUUGGUCCAAUAUGGAAAUGUUUAAUCCCCACACAUGAAAGAAAGGUAGAAAUGACCACCGGAGGAGAACGAAGCACCGGAAUGCAAAACGGACAACGGGGAAAAUGCUCGAAUGCAAGAGAUGAACACGUAUGCAAAUGCAAUGCACAUGAUGACAUGAUAUGAGAUGCAUGACAAUGAUAACAACACACGGAGACAAAAACCCGAACCCGAGAAAAUAAAAUAACUUAAGGCCGGAAACGACAAGAGUUGGAGUACAAAUUGGGUAAGUUACAUCCGAGGUGUUACAUCUAUGUACUCCAGCGCGACUCCCUCCGGGAGUAUCGCCGCCUUUUUGCUCUGUUGCAGAUAUUUGGCCAUGGAUGUCGCCGUCGCCGCUAGUUGGUCCUUGUUGUCAAACCAAGACUGUAUCUCCAACAUCCUAGCUAGCUUCACAUGGUCGCCAUCUGCGAUCCUCACGUAUCGGUUGUACUCUCCAUCGAUCUACUUCUCCACAGCACCUUCACUCGCCGGAGGUGGUUUAUGAAUGGAAGAGGAGAUGAGCAGCGCUGGUUUUGGAUUAGAACGGGAGAGGAGCGACGCUGGUUUUGGACUGGAACAGGAGAGGAGGGGCGGUGGUUUUGAAAUGGAAGAGGAGAGGAGCGGCGCUGCAUUUAGAUUGGAACAGGAGAGGAGCGACGGUGGUUUAAGAGGAGAAGAGCGGAAGAGCGGCGCUGGUCUUGGAAGUAUUUUUUUGUUGUUUUGCGUAUUUUGGGUCAAAGUUUGACCACGUACUGUAUUUGACAAGCAAAAUGUGAAUGCAUGUCACCAAAAAUUGUAUCAUUUGGUCAACGUAUAACGUAUAUUUUAUGUGCGAAAAUCAUGGUCAAUUAUGACCCAGAAUAAAAGGAAGACUAGUUAAUGUGGGGUCGCUUUCUUAAUUGAAGGGUAAAUUGAUUUUGAUUUUGAUCCAGUCACAGCGCGCCAGCCCUCUUGUCCAAUCCUAAAUCGCUGUCGCACGCUCCUGUCCCUCUUCUCCAUUGCAAAACCACCUCCUCUUCUCUCCAUCAUCUCCAUUCCAAAACCACCGUCUCGCCUCUCCCUCUUCUGAUCUUCUCCAUUGCAAAACCACCUCCUCUCCUCUCCAUCAUCUCCAUUCCAAAACCACCAUCUCGCCUCUCCCUCUUCUGAUCUUCUCCAUUGCAAAACCACCUCCUCAUGCACGUGGCCCGGAGGCGUAGUUGUCGUCAUUUUGAUCUGAAGCACCGGAUUAUAACAUAUUACACGAAAAAAUGCCACAUGACAAGAAAUCAUAACCUCACUGCCCAAAGGAGACAACAUGAAUCCCGACGAACAAACUAGACGAGGAACAAAGCUCAAAUUAAAGAUAAACUCGUAGAAAAGGGGUCCGUCGAUAAAUGUCCUAAUUAACAUAGCCGGCUUGACCUAGAUGGCAGCCGAGUAGUCACUGUUCGUGCAUGUGCCCCCAAUGACUAGCCCAACUCAGUUGUCAUUGUUUAACCCUCGCAGUGAUCCGAAGCACAUGACACCUAAUUUUGCGAGAUGACAAGAAACCUUUUCUUAGAUUUCUCACCACAACUACAGCCAUGUACAACACAGCCUGCACGAUAUGUAGACGAUAGCCAAUCCAGGCGUGUCUGCUGGAGUCUGGUCACAUGCAUGGACGAACUGAUCUUCUGUGUCUUGCAGGGAUCGUCCAGGCACCAACGUAGUACAACACUUCUCUAGUACUAUCGCUCAUCUCCCUCUUCUAUUAAGUCACCCGACUUGCGGGGCCGGGGAGUGUGCCUAUGGUCAGUUCUCAAUUGCCGUCCCACAUGUGUGUGCAAACGCAAUAUGACGCGCGUUCCAUUCGGAGAGCAGCGUGCCAGACCGAUCGACCGUCUGGGGUGCGACGCGAACGCGACGUGCGUGUCGUAUACUCCGUACAUGUGUAGCGCCGUUUUCUAGACGCUUUGCUCCAUGGCGCGGGUGCAAUCCAUGGGUACAAAAUUAGUAUACUGUAUACUAUUUAAAAGUCGAGGGCGGGGCUUUUCCUGCACGGUAGGCGGCGGGGCAGUUCCGCCUAGUCGGUUCGACAGAGACGCGAGAAGACGAGGGAGUAGGCUGCUGCAAACGUAGGGCUGUGUGAUUUGACAGCGAGUUGCUGCUGGACAGGUGGGGCCCCGUGAUUUGACUUGCCAUUAUCAUUUUAACUGUGGCGCUACGACCGGCGUGAGUCUCUCGAUUCCUGACCACCUCCAUUACAAAGAAAGAGAUAGAGAGGAGUAAAAAAACACUUAUAGCCAACCUUGUUCUAGUAUGAGUGACUAAGUGAUGACUAUAUAUGACAUGCCAACAUCAGAUAGCCUAACGCACCGUGUUAAAUCUCCAAGGGCGUGACCGCGGGAGCGACGCGAUGGUUGUGGUAGGCGCGACCAUGAUACGGGCUGCUGGCAGCCCUUGGAUCUGAGAUCAAACGGUCGCAUGCUAAGUUGCUGAAAAAUUGCAGAAUAACCCUCCAAGAUAGGAUAUUCACCCAUAGGUCUAGAAUCACGCCAUGCAACCGUUCGAUCUCAGAUCCAAGGGCUCUCGGAAGCCCGUAUCAUGGGAGAAUGGAAAGCCACUACCCUGCCGUUCGCAUGCUGGCAGUUCGCUCCUACUCGUCCCCACACGUCCUUCAAUACUACGACGGUUCGCUCCUAGUCGUCCCGUCCAUUCACAUUACGGCAGUUCCACUAAUCCUAACCCUCCUCCCAAAUCCAUGGCAUCUCAAAUCUCCACGAUCGGCGGUGAGUACAAGGUUAGAACCAUCACCGGCGAUGAGUUCGACGUCAUCUACACCCGUUCUUCCGCGACGGUGAAAGGAUACCUUUCUCGCUUCAGACGCAUGUUCGAAAACUCAGAUGAUGAGUGGGUCGCCGGGCUAGAUGUUGAGUACACCACAGUCCCGGGACCAGAUAAGGAUCUAAAGGACGAAGAGAGGAAGAAGCCCGCCGUGAUCCAGGUUUGCAUACAUAAUGUUUGCUUGGUCUACCACAUAUGCCAUGCCGGCGUUGAGUGCCAGGAUUUUAAGAACUUCCUCAAGGACAAAACAGUGAAAUUCGUUACUAUAGACUUUAAGAAUGACAGGGAUGUCCUGCGUCGGAUAGGUCUCGUUGUAGGUAACCCCUUCGACCUCCAGAAGAAUCGGCCGGUGUUCUCUCGUCAGCCUUCAAUGCUAACCCUGGAAGGAGCCAUGGUUCAUCCUUCGUACGGUAAACUGGAGAAACCUCCAUACACGUUUCAUCGUCAUGCAUGGCAGUGGAAUGUACUAGAUAUAGACCACAUCCACUACGCUACAAUGGAUGGCUGUGACGCCCCCAAUUUGACCGUACACUAAUCAUACACGCAAACGUGUACGAUCAAGAUCAGGGACUCACGGGAAGAUAUCACAACACAACUCUACAAAUAAAAAUAAGUCAUACAAGCAUCAUAUUACAAGCCAGGGUCCUCGAGGGCUCGAAUACAAGAGCUCGAUCAUAGACGAGUCAGUGGAAGCAACAAUAUCUGAGUACAGACAUAAGUUAAACAAGUUUUCCUUAAGAAGGCUAUCACAAACUGGGAUACAGAUCAAAAGAGGCGCAGGCCUCCUGCCUGGGAUCCUCCUAAACUACUCCUGGUCGUCGUCAGCGGGCUGCACGUAGUAGUAGGCACCUCCCGAGUAGUAGUAGUCGUCAUCGACGGUGGCGUCUGGCUCCUGGGCUCCAACGUCUGGUCGCAACAAUCGAGUAUAGAAAGGGGGAAAAGAGGGAGCAAAGCAACCGUGAGUACUCAUCCAAAGUACUCGCAAGCAAGGAGCUACACUACAUAUGUAUGCAAUGGUAUCAAAUGGAAUAAGGGUAUCAUAUGUGGACCGAACUGCAGAAAGCCGGAAUAGGGAUAACUAGUCCUGUCGAAGACUACGCUUCUGUUAACCUCCAUCUUGCAGCAGGAGAAGGUAAGUUCACCAAGUAGCAUCGUGUAGCAUAAUCCUAACCGAUGAUCCUCCCCUCGUCGCCCUGUGAGAGAGCGAUCACCGGUUGUAUCUGGCACUUGGAAGAGUGUGUUUUAUUAAGUAUCCGAUUCUAGUUGUCAUAAGGUCAAGGUACAACUCCAAGUUGUCCUGUUACCGAAGAUCACGACUAUUCAAAUAGAUUAACUUACCUGCAGGGGUGCACCACAUAACCCAACACGCUCGAUCCCAUUUGGCCGGACACACUUUCCUGGGUCAUGCCCGACCUCGGAAGAUCAACACGUCGCAGCCCUACCUAGGCACAACAGAGAGGUCAGCACGCCGGUCUAAAUCCUAUGGCGCAGGGGUCUGGGCCCAUCGCCCAUUGCACACCCGCAUGUUGUGUACGCGGCCGGUGAGCAGACCUAGCCUCCCUUAUACAAGAGUAGGCGUUCCAGUCCAACCGGGCGCACGCCGCUCAGUCGCUGACGUCACGAAGGCUUCGGCUGAUACCACGACGUCGAGUGCCCAUAACUGUCCCCGCGUAGAUGGUUAGUGCGUAUAGGCCAGUAGCCAGACUCAGAUCAAAUACCAAGAUCUCAUUAAGCGUGUUAUUUUGAAAUAACCACGAACGCCGACCAGGGCCAGGCCCACCUCACUCCUAGGUGGUCUCAACCUGCCCUGUCGCUUCACCACAAAGAUCCACACAGAGGGCCGUCGGGAAAGUAUGUCCUUCCAGCCCUCAAUUCAUGAGUCAACCGCGGGUACUCCUCGAGCCAACCCGACUUUAGUCAUCACAUGUAUCAUGUAUAAAGUAUAUAGUAUAUACCCGUGAUCACCUCCCGAGUGAUCACGACCCGAUAGUAUAGCAUGGCAGACGGACAAGAAUGUAGGGCCACUGAUGAUAAACUAGCAUCCUAUACUAAGUAUUAGGAUUGCAGGUAAAGGUAACAACCAUAGUAGUAAGGACAGGCUAUGCAUCAGGAUAGGAUUAACGGAAAGCAGUAACAUUCUACACUACUCUAAUGCAAGCAGUAGAGAGAAGAAUAGGCGAUAUCUGGUGAUCAAAGGGGGGGCUUGCCUGGUUGCUCUGGCAAGAGAGAGGGGUCGUCAACACCGUAGUCGUACUGGGUAGCAGCGGCGUCGGUCUCGAUGUCUAGCAGAGAAGAGGGGGAAGAAACAAUAAAUAUAAUGCAAACAAAUGCAUGACGAUGCGUGAUAUGACAAAGAGUGAUGCUAGGUGUGCCCUAACACGGUAUGAGGUGGUACCGGUGAAAGGGGGAAACAUCCGAAAAAUAUCCCCGGUGUUUCGCGUUUUCGGGCAAAGGAGUCGGAGGGGGAAAGUUGCGUGGUUGCUAUGCUAGGGAUGCGUGUCAGAUGAAUGGGCUGCGUAUCCGGGUUCGUCUCGUCGUUCUAAGCAACUUCCAUGUACAAAGUUUUUCCAUCCGAGCUACGGUUUAUUUUAUAUUAAUUUUAAAAGGAUUUAAUCAUUUUCUAGAAUUAACAGAAUUAAUUUAAUCCUAAACGCAUUGAUGACGUCAGCAUGACAUCAGCGGUCAGCUUUGACCUUUGACUAGUCAAGCUGACAGGUGGGUCCCGUUUGUCACUGAUAAAGACUAACUAAUCAGGAUUAACUAAAUUAGUUAAAUGAUUAGGUUAAUUUAAUCACAAUUAAUUAACUUAGUUAACUAAUUGAUUAAUUAAUUAAUUAUAUUUUUUUAUUACUUAUUAUUAUUUAUUUUUAAUCCCCUUUUUUACUGUUCUGCGGUGGGCCCCACUUGUCAUUGGCCCUAGGGGCCUUAGUGGGCACAGGGCGGUGCGAGGGCAGGGGCACGACCACGAGCGCCCGAUAAGGAGCCCGGGCGCUGGCCUCCGGCGAGACCAACGGCGCGGUCGCCGGUGCCCACGACACCGGCCAGGGGAGGCGACGGAGGUGCGGGACUAAGGCGAGGGGAGCAGGGCGCAGGGGCCGGAGCACCGGAGUUGGCCGCGGGCGUGGCGGCGUCGCUGACGCAGGGGGGUUGCAGGACGGGGCGUGGCCAGUGGUCAGGGCGGCCACGGUAGCCGGCCGGCGUGGGGAGUGGGCAGGCCGCGCGACCACGGGCGCGGUGGAUGCGACAUGCGGGGCUGGGCGCGCGCAUCGCGGCGCGGUGGGCGCGGUGGGGAGAGGAGGAGAGGCGAGAGACCCGGGGCCUCACCGGCGUUGAAGAGGAGAGGGGCGGCGAGGCUCAUGCGGCGGCUUGGGGAGGAGACGAGGAGGCCACGGCGAGGUCGAUCCGGUGAGGGGCAACAUCGGUGGGGCGCCUGGUUUGGCAAACGGCAACGGCGCGAGGUCGGGGAUGGCGCGGUGAGGGGAGGCUCCAAGCGACAGCGGGGUGGGGCAGUGAGGCGAUGGCGUGAUGGUCCGACGAGGUCGGCGGCUGGGCCGGGGUGCGCCGGGUUCGUUCCCUCCUUCCCGAUACAGAACAGGAUCGAGAGGUGGGGGGAGAGACGAGGGAGAGUGGGGCAAGUGGGAGGAGUGG